CAGCAGCCGCGGUAAUACAUAGGAUGCAAGCGUUAUCCAGAAUGAUUGGGCGUAAAGGGCUCACAGGCGGUUUCUUAAGUCUGAUGUGAAAGCCCCCGGCUCAACCGGGGAGGGUCAUUGGAAACUGGGAAACUUGAGUGCAGAAGAGGAGAGUGGAAUUCCACGUGUAGCGGUGAAAUGCGUAGAGAUGUGGAGGAACGCCAGUGGCGAAGGCGACUCUCUGGUCUGUAACUGACGCUGAGGAGCGAAAGCGUGGGGAGCGAACAGGAUUAGAUACCCGGGUAGUCCCUGUCUCUUAUAC
This 301-nucleotide ribosomal RNA is filed under the name uncultured bacterium. Its description in RNAcentral is "partial 16S ribosomal RNA". It matches the Rfam family "Bacterial small subunit ribosomal RNA", at positions 509 to 807 of the family's 1533-position model. The record is from RNAcentral.